AUGCUCACUUCAGCAGCACAUUAUAAAAUUUGGCAAGGUCAGAGGAGAUUAGCAUUGCCCCAGUACAAGGAUGACACCCAAAAUUAAAUUCUGGUAUCUAAUAAGU
Small nuclear RNA from Gorilla gorilla gorilla (western lowland gorilla), 106 nucleotides. Lineage: Eukaryota; Metazoa; Chordata; Mammalia; Primates; Hominidae. The record is from Ensembl.